CCCUUAGAUGUUCUGGGCCGCACGCGCGCUACACUGAUGCAUUCAACGAGCCUAUCCUUGACCGACAGGUCCGGGUAAUCUUUGAAUCUGCAUCGUGACGGGGAUAGAUUAUUGCAAUUAUUAAUCUUCAACGAGGAAUGCCUAGUAGGCGCAAGUCAUCAGCUUGCGUCGAUUACGUCCCUGCCCUUUGUACACACCGCCCGUCGCACCUACCGAUUGAACGUUCCGGUGAGACCUUAGGAUUUUGGUCUAUUUCAUUUAUUUGAGAUUUACUAGAAGAAUUUGAGCAAACCUUAACGUUUAGAGGAAGGUGAAGUCGUAACA
Molecule: ribosomal RNA, 324 nt
Filed under: uncultured eukaryote
Lineage: Eukaryota
Description: partial 18S ribosomal RNA
Rfam family: Eukaryotic small subunit ribosomal RNA
Source: RNAcentral